RNAcentral lists this ribosomal RNA (253 nucleotides) under uncultured bacterium. RNAcentral's name for it is "partial 16S ribosomal RNA". It matches the Rfam family "Bacterial small subunit ribosomal RNA", at positions 524 to 776 of the family's 1533-position model. The record is from RNAcentral.
UACAGAGGUCCCAAGCGUUGUUCGGAUUCAUUGGGCGUAAAGGGUGCGUAGGUGGCGUGGUAAGUGGGGUGUGAAAUCCCGAGGCUUAACCUCGGGACUGCAUUCCAUACUGCCGUGCUUGAGGACUGGAGAGGAGACUGGAAUUUACGGUGUAGCAGUGAAAUGCGUAGAGAUCGUAAGGAAGACCAGUGGCGAAGGCGGGUCUCUGGACAGUUCCUGACACUGAGGCACGAAGGCCAGGGGAGCAAACGGG